RNAcentral lists this ribosomal RNA (1388 nucleotides) under uncultured bacterium. RNAcentral describes it as "bacterial SSU rRNA". It matches the Rfam family "Bacterial small subunit ribosomal RNA". The record is from RNAcentral.
AGAGUUUGAUCCUUGCUGGAUUGAACGCUGGCGGCAUGCCUUACACAUGCAAGUCGAACGGCAGCACGGAGCUUGCUCUGGUGGCGAGUGGCGAACGGGUGAGUAAUAUAUCGGAACGUACCCUAGAGUGGGGGAUAACGUAGCGAAAGUUACGCUAAUACCGCAUACGAUCUAAGGAUGAAAGUGGGGGAUCGCAAGACCUCAUGCUCGUGGAGCGGCCGAUAUCUGAUUAGCUAGUUGGUAGGGUAAAAGCCUACCAAGGCAUCGAUCAGUAGCUGGUCUGAGAGGACGACCAGCCACACUGGAACUGAGACACGGUCCAGACUCCUACGGGAGGCAGCAGUGGGGAAUUUUGGACAAUGGGCGAAAGCCUGAUCCAGCAAUGCCACGUGAGUGAAGAAGGCCUUCGGGUUGUAAAGCUCUUUUGUCAGGGAAGAAACGGUGAAAGCUAAUAUCUUUUGCUAAUGACGGUACCUGAAGAAUAAGCACCGGCUAACUACGUGCCAGCAGCCGCGGUAAUACGUAGGGUGCAAGCGUUAAUCGGAAUUACUGGGCGUAAAGCGUGCGCAGGCGGUUUUGUAAGUCUGAUGUGAAAUCCCCGGGCUCAACCUGGGAAUUGCAUUGGAGACUGCAAGGCUAGAAUCUGGCAGAGGGGGGUAGAAUUCCACGUGUAGCAGUGAAAUGCGUAGAUAUGUGGAGGAACACCGAUGGCGAAGGCAGCCCCCUGGGUCAAGAUUGACGCUCAUGCACGAAAGCGUGGGGAGCAAACAGGAUUAGAUACCCUGGUAGUCCACGCCCUAAACGAUGUCUACUAGUUGUCGGGUCUUAAUUGACUUGGUAACGCAGCUAACGCGUGAAGUAGACCGCCUGGGGAGUACGGUCGCAAGAUUAAAACUCAAAGGAAUUGACGGGGACCCGCACAAGCGGUGGAUGAUGUGGAUUAAUUCGAUGCAACGCGAAAAACCUUACCUACCCUUGACAUGGCUGGAAUCCUUGAGAGAUCAGGGAGUGCUCGAAAGAGAGCCAGUACACAGGUGCUGCAUGGCUGUCGUCGGCUCGUGUCGUGAGAUGUUGGGUUAAGUCCCGCAACGAGCGCAACCCUUGUCAUUAGUUGCUACGAAAGGGCACUCUAAUGAGACUGCCGGUGACAAACCGGAGGAAGGUGGGGAUGACGUCAAGUCCUCAUGGCCCUUAUGGGUAGGGCUUCACACGUCAUACAAUGGUACAUACAGAGCGCCGCCAACCCGCGAGGGGGAGCUAAUCGCAGAAAGUGUAUCGUAGUCCGGAUUGUAGUCUGCAACUCGACUGCAUGAAGUUGGAAUCGCUAGUAAUCGCGGAUCAGCAUGUCGCGGUGAAUACGUUCCCGGGUCUUGCACUCACCGCCCGUC